AUGGGACGAGCUGCUCCUGCGCUGCUGCCCCGCGAGCGGCCCGGCCGUGGCGGGGUCCCGUGUGGGUGCUGCGGCGGCGAGGAGCGCAGGCCGCCCGCCUCGGGCCCUGGAGGUCCCCGCACAGCCCCCGGGGCGGCGUCCCGGCGAUCGCGGAAGCCCUCGCUGUCCUCCAGCGGGCUCAGGUUGCUCGUGAAGUCGGCGCUGACCGCGCGGGCUGGAGGUGGCCGCGUGGGACCCGCGGAACUCCCGCCGGGGCAGCGGCUGGAAAACCGGGUCGACCUCCGUCCCCCGGGAUGCUUCGGCCCUGGGGUCCCCUCCCUCCCCUCCCUCCCUCCCUCCCUCCCUCCCCCUCCCUCCCUCCCUCCCCUCCCCUCCCUCCCUCCCCUCCCUCCUCCGCCAGCCGCGGGCGAGCCAAGAAAGGGGAGAGCAAAGCACCGGGCGGAGGGGAGGGGGCGCGAGGAGGAGGCGGAGAUUCCGGGGACAAGGUCGGUUCGGCCCGAGGCUGAAAGAAACUGGGAGCCAGGCGGGGGCGGCGGAAGCGCGAGUCCAGAACUGAGCCCGGCGGGGCCGUGCGCGGCGAGGCUGCUCCCGGUCCGCUGCGCGGAUGGACGGCGGGCCGGAGCCCCGGGCCGGGGCGGAUCCGGGCACAGCGGGCGCCGCACUCCCGCAAACAGGGCCGUGGACCCCGCGGGCCGUGGCUCUCCCCGAGGCGCGCCCUCUGAGCUGCUGCCUGUGGACUGCGGCACGGAGGCUGCAGAACUACGCGGCCGCCCGACUGACGGGGUUACAAAAGGAGGAUUCGUUGGAACUUUCCUCGGGCCCCACGCUUGCUCGGGAUCUGGAUUCCAUUUGGCAGCGCGCAGCCGUCCAGUGGACGGGCUUUGUAGAGUUCUCGGACCUGGUGUUCACAGCAAGUGAGGUGGGUUCAGUUCUUCCCAGGUUCCAGUGGUUGAGGUGGAAAGGCAACGGUAUAAAUACCCUUGAUGGCCUGUUCUCCGUAACCAGGUGGAGAUAGUGGUGGAGUGUUGUAGGCUAGUCCUAAGUGUAAUACGUUUGAAGUAAUGAGGUAAAAAGUAGAAGGAAGUGUUUCCGCCCGGUUUCGAACCGGGGACCUUUCGCGUGUGAGGCGAACGUGAUAACCACUACACUACGGAAACCUGCUUGGCUUUCGUGUGCCAUCGUAAUGACCCACCACACAGGGCCGUUUUUUAUUUCCUCAUCGUAAUUCAGAGCUUCCUCCAUGCGUCCCUUCGAGCUUUAUUAAUGAGCAUAAGCACACACACAAAGAUAUUUCAGCACCUGGAAGGCUGAGGCGGCAGGAUAGCUGGAGCCCAGGAGGUCGAGACUGCACUGAGCUAUGAUUGCAGCACUGCACUCCAGCCUGGGCGACAGAGCAAGACCUUAUCUCGAAAGAGAGAAAAGAAAGAAACGAGAAAAGGAAGUUUUCAUGUGCAAUGUGGUGGCAUAAGUGGGCACGAGAGUCCUGAGAGAGGAUGUCCCGGCGACAGUGGGUAUGGGGUUGAAGAGCAGGGGCGCGCUGGCACCGUUUUCUAAGAGAAGAGACUUUCAGAAGAAGCUGCUUGGGGAAUAUGAGGCCACGUGUUCGUGAGUAGAGCUGAAGCUUGUGUGUCCAGAGAAAUUGGAGUGGAAUGAAAGAGGAAGUAGCCUAAACACCAUUUUGUUGUUCCAUUGUUUGGUAGAACUCUAGAUUUUCCUAGCAGCCACUGCUCUUGGACAUUUAGAUUACUUUCCUCCCACCAACAGUAUGCAAGCGUUAUGAAGGCUACCCCCUUGGCAACAUUUGGCACUUUUCAUUGAUUUUUUUUUUUAACUUCUAGCCAUUUGUGGGUAUGUAGUAUUCCUUAUGGUUUAAGUUUGCAUUUAGCUGAUAAGAAAAGAUGGGCACUUUUUCAUGGGUUUAUGGCCCAUGUGUUCAUCUUACUGUGUGAAGUAUCUCUUUAAAUAUCUUGUCCAUUAAAAACAAACAAAGAAAAAAAACACACAAACAGAAAACCCCAAGAAACAAAAAACAAAGAACUGGCAUGUCAUGGUGGCUCACACCUGUAAUUCCAGAACUCUGGGAGGGCGAGGUGUGUGAAUUGUUUGAGCUCAUGAGUUGAGACCAGUCUGGGCAACAUUGGGACAUCAUCUCUACAGAACGUCCAAAAAUUAGCUGGGAGUGAUGGCGUUCACUUGUAGUUUCUGUAGGUACUUGGGAGGCUGAGGUGAGAGUAUUGCUUGAGCCUGAGAGAUGGAGGCUGCAGUGAGCAGAGAUCUCACUGCUGCACUCCAGCCUGGGUAACAGAGCAAGAUCCUGUUCCAAAAAGACUCUCAUAUGUUUUUUAAUCUGGAAACUUUUAAAUUUUAGCUUGCAUGUUUAAGUGUAAACUCUAUUUCAUAUAAAUUUUUUUGUUAUGGUGUGAGGUUGGGAUUAAGGUUAAUUUCUUUCCCCUAUGGAUAUCCAGUUGUUCCUGAACCCAUAGUUGCAAAGACACUAUUUCUGAGUUUUCUCUAUGUGGAGUGCAGUGGGAUGGCUCACUGCAAUUGGGUCACCAUUCUCCUGCUUCAGCCUCC
This is a long non-coding RNA of Macaca fascicularis (crab-eating macaque), 2574 nucleotides long. NCBI's taxonomy places the organism in Eukaryota, Metazoa, Chordata, Mammalia, Primates, Cercopithecidae. The record is from Ensembl.